This 361-nucleotide unclassified non-coding RNA is filed under the name Demospongiae sp. GW41330. RNAcentral describes it as "sequence contains 28S rRNA gene". Lineage: Eukaryota; Metazoa; Porifera; Demospongiae. The record is from RNAcentral.
ACGAACGAGGUUGGUGCAGUGAUUGCGCAGGCUCAGGUUCUGCCGAAGGUGCCGUCGGGUGGGCCCACGUGUCCCCAGGCGUACGCCGGAGGCAGAGCCGUACUCCUCGCGAGCACGGACCAGCAGCGGUUGGAGUGGAGCCACAAGGCUGACAGGAAGGUAGGUCGGGUCGGGCUCGCCCGCUCGACAACUUACAGACUGGCUGUCCGGUGUUCCACUCGGACCGAGGAAAGCGGGCAGCUCUUGCCCAGUGUGGUGCACGCCGUAUGGCGGGGCCUCCCGUCGAGGGCAAGUCGUGCGGGGUUGACUGCUUGCAGUGCUCACCGUCACGGCGAACCCACGGUCGGAGAGUGUCACUUGU